AUGAACGCUGGCGGCGUGCCUAAUACAUGCAAGUCGAGCGAACAGACGAGGAGCUUGCUCCUCUGACGUUAGCGGCGGACGGGUGAGUAACACGUGGAUAACCUACCUAUAAGACUGGGAUAACUUCGGGAAACCGGAGCUAAUACCGGAUAAUAUAUUGAACCGCAUGGUUCAAUAGUGAAAGACGGUUUUGCUGUCACUUAUAGAUGGAUCCGCGCCGCAUUAGCUAGUUGGUAAGGUAACGGCUUACCAAGGCAACGAUGCGUAGUCGACCUGAGAGGGUGAUCGGCCACACUGGAACUGAGACACGGUCCAGACUCCUACGGGAGGCAGCAGAAGGGAAUCUUCCGCAAUGGGCGAAAGCCUGACGGAGCAACGCCGCGUGAGUGAUGAAGGUCUUCGGAUCGUAAAACUCUGUUAUUAGGGAAGAACAAAUGUGUAAGUAACUAUGCACGUCUUGACGGUACCUAAUCAGAAAGCCACGGCUAACUACGUG
Molecule: ribosomal RNA, 496 nt
Filed under: uncultured bacterium
Lineage: Bacteria
Description: partial 16S ribosomal RNA
Rfam family: Bacterial small subunit ribosomal RNA
Source: RNAcentral